Molecule: ribosomal RNA, 497 nt
Filed under: uncultured bacterium
Lineage: Bacteria
Description: partial 16S ribosomal RNA
Rfam family: Bacterial small subunit ribosomal RNA
Source: RNAcentral
GAUGAACGCUGGCGGCGUGCCUAAUACAUGCAAGUCGAGCGAACGGACGAUACUCUUUCUUCUCUUCUGUUACCGGCGGACGUGUGAUUCCCACGUGUCUAACCUACCUUUAUGUCUGGCAUACCUUCGCGACCCCUUAUCUAAUACCCGAUCAUAUUUUGAACCUCAUGGUUCUUAAGUUCUCUCCCUUCUUGCUGUCUCUUCUACAUUUUUCCUCGCUGCAUUAGUUAGUUGGUAAGGUAACGGCUUACCAAGGCAACGAUGCAUAGCCGACCUGAGAGGGGGAUCGGGCACACUGGAACUGAGACACGGUCCAGACUCCUACGGGAGGCAGCAGUAGGGAAUAUUGGGCAAUGGGCGAAAGCCUGACGGAGCAAAGCCGCGUGAGUGAAGAAGGUCUUCGGAUCGUAAAACACUGUAAGUAGGGAAGAAGAGAAGUGAAAGAAAAUGUGGACAUAUUGACGGUACCAAAAGAGAAAGCAACGGCUAACUACGUG